RNAcentral lists this ribosomal RNA (468 nucleotides) under uncultured bacterium. RNAcentral describes it as "partial 16S ribosomal RNA". It matches the Rfam family "Bacterial small subunit ribosomal RNA", at positions 28 to 507 of the family's 1533-position model. The record is from RNAcentral.
GACGAACGCUGGCGGCGUGCUUAACACAUGCGAGUCGAACGGAAAGGCCCUGCUUUUGUGGGGUGCUCGAGUGGCGAACGGGUGAGUAACACGUGAGUAACCUGCCCUUGACUUUGGGAUAACUUCAGGAAACUGGGGCUAAUACCGGAUAGGAGCUACUGCUGCAUGGGGGGGGAUGGAAAGUUUCGGCGGUUGGGGAUGGACUCGCGGCUUAUGAGCUUGUUGGUGGGGUAGUGGCUUACCAAGGCUUUGAAGGGUAGCCGGCCUGAGAGGGUGACCGGCCACAUUGGGACUGAGAUACGGCCCAGACUCCUACGGGAGGCAGCAGUGGGGAAUAUUGCACAAUGGGCGGACGCCUGAUGCAGCAACGCCGCGUGCGGGAUGACGGCCUUCGGGUUGUAAACCGCUUUCGCCUGUGACGAAGCGUGAGUGACGGUAAUGGGUAAAGAAGCACCGGCUAACUACGUG